CAGCAGUAGCCGCGGGAAAACAGAGGGUGCGAGCGUUAAUCGGAUUUACUGGGCGUAAAGCGUGCGUAGGCGGCUUUUUAAGUCGGAUGUGAAAUCCCUGAGCUUAACUUAGGAAUUGCAUUCGAUACUGGGAAGCUAGAGUAUGGGAGAGGAUGGUAGAAUUCCAGGUGUAGCGGUGAAAUGCGUAGAGAUCUGGAGGAAUACCGAUGGCGAAGGCAGCCAUCUGGCCUAAUACUGACGCUGAGGUACGAAAGCAUGGGGAGCAAACAGGAUUAGAUACCCCUGUAGUCCCUGUCUCUUAUAA
Molecule: ribosomal RNA, 304 nt
Filed under: uncultured bacterium
Lineage: Bacteria
Description: partial 16S ribosomal RNA
Rfam family: Bacterial small subunit ribosomal RNA
Source: RNAcentral